GAUGAACGCUGGCGGCGUGCUUAACACAUGCAAGUCGAACGAUGAAGCCCAGCUUGCUGGGUGGAUUAGUGGCGAACGGGUGAGUAACACGUGAGUAACCUGCCCUUGACUCUGGGAUAAGCCUGGGAAACUGGGUCUAAUACUGGAUAUGACUUCUCAUCGCAUGGUGGGGGGUGGAAAGAUUUAUUGGUCUUGGAUGGACUCGCGGCCUAUCAGCUUGUUGGUGAGGCAAUGGCUCACCAAGGCGACGACGGGUAGCCGGCCUGAGAGGGUGACCGGCCACACUGGGACUGAGACACGGCCCAGACUCCUACGGGAGGCAGCAGUGGGGAAUAUUGCACAAUGGGCGCAAGCCUGAUGCAGCGACGCCGCGUGAGGGAUGACGGCCUUCGGGUUGUAAACCUCUUUCAGUAGGGAAGAAGCGAGAGUGACGGUACCUGCAGAAGAAGCGCCGGCUAACUACGUG
RNAcentral lists this ribosomal RNA (466 nucleotides) under uncultured bacterium. Its description in RNAcentral is "partial 16S ribosomal RNA". It matches the Rfam family "Bacterial small subunit ribosomal RNA", at positions 28 to 507 of the family's 1533-position model. The record is from RNAcentral.